This 493-nucleotide long non-coding RNA is filed under the name Homo sapiens (human). RNAcentral describes it as "non-protein coding LINC01487:2". The record is from RNAcentral. Lineage: Eukaryota; Metazoa; Chordata; Mammalia; Primates; Hominidae.
CCAGCAUCCAAGGAGAGUGUGGGCAGCUGGAGCCAGGUCCUCCUCCUCCUCCUUCUCCUCUUCUUCCUCCUUCGUUUCUUCCUUUCCUCCUCCACCUGCCUAUUGCAGAGCAGCAGAAAGCAAAGGAGCUAGAAAAGGUUAGCACUGCCUCUAAGGUCUCCUGCAACUCACCCACCCACCCCUCUUACUCCAUGGUAUUCAACUUCUAAACUAAGAGGAAAGCCCGAGCUAGAGGUCCUAUGCAUCAAUCAGGGAAGAGAUAUUGAGAAGAAUAAACAGAGAAACUGUAUUUUUUCUCUCAACUAAAACAUCCAUUUUAAUCAAUAUUUGGCAAGAAAAUAUAUACCUGUUUCAUCUUCACUGGUUAUUUCCAUAAACUGGAAAGAAGGACUGUCUAAAUGGUAGUUAUGUCCCAUGAGAUGUUUAAGCAAAAGGGAAAAUUAUACAAAAAAGAAUGCCAUAUUUUGUCUGCGCCACCAGAAUGACAAUAAAA